RNAcentral lists this non-coding RNA (88 nucleotides) under Pseudomonas lini. The record is from RNAcentral. Lineage: Bacteria; Pseudomonadati; Pseudomonadota; Gammaproteobacteria; Pseudomonadales; Pseudomonadaceae.
CGUUAUGGCGGCUGUGCGCGGGAGACUUCGAGUCUGUCGGGUUUUGCUCAGUGGCCCGGGUUCCAACCUGCGUACAGCUGCCUCCCUU